RNAcentral lists this ribosomal RNA (477 nucleotides) under uncultured bacterium. Its description in RNAcentral is "partial 16S ribosomal RNA". It matches the Rfam family "Bacterial small subunit ribosomal RNA", at positions 29 to 523 of the family's 1533-position model. The record is from RNAcentral.
AGUGAACGCUGGCGGCGUGCCUAACACAUGCAAGUCGAACGGACGAAGAGAGCUUGCUCUCCUAGUUAGUGGCGCACGGGUGAGUAACACGUAGCUAACCUGCCCCAUAGUAAGGGACAACAGUUGGAAACGACUGCUAAUACCUUAUACUCCUUCUCUACCUAAGUAGAGUCGGGAAAGUUAUUUCGCUAUGGGAUGGGGCUGCGGCCUAUCAGCUUGUUGGGGAGGUAAUGGCUCAACAAGGCUAUGACGGGUAGCUAGUCUGAGAGGAUGAUCAGCCACAUUGGAACUGAGACACGGUCCAAACUCCUACGGGAGGCAGCAGUGGGGAAUUUUACACAAUGGGCGAAAGCCUGAUGUAGCAACGCCGCGUGGAGGAUGAAGGAUUUAGGUUCGUAAACUCCUUUUAUAAGGGAAGAAAUUUGACGGUACCUUAUGAAUAAGCACCGGCUAACUCCGUGCCAGCAGCCGCAGUAA